RNAcentral lists this small RNA (638 nucleotides) under Pan troglodytes (chimpanzee). RNAcentral describes it as "processed transcript". The record is from RNAcentral. Lineage: Eukaryota; Metazoa; Chordata; Mammalia; Primates; Hominidae.
UUACCUUCCUAUCCCAGUGCAUAUCAUAGUUCUUGGCACUCAGUAAAUGCUAGUUGAAUAAAUAAGUGAAUGAAUGCAGAACAGGGGUUAAAUUAGGGAACAACAUUACAGCAAACUGUUGGGAGGUGGCUGGAGAUCAUAUCCAGAGUGGGGCUGGAGGUUCUGACAAUGAUUACCUGAUCUUAAACUUGCAUAUCCCAGGAUUUAAACCACCAACAUCUAUGACUGGAGCCACGGGUUCUGAACUAGGAAGAAUAACAUUUGUCUUUGAGACCCUCUGUUCAGCUGACUGUGUUUUGUACUUCAUGGUGGAUAUUAAUAGAAAAAGUACGAAUGUGGUAGAAUCAUGGGGUGGAACCAAAGAAAAACAAGCUUACACCCAUAUCAUCUUCAAGAAUGCAACUUUUACAUUUACAUGGGCAUUCCAGAGAACUAAUCAGGGUCAAGAUAAUAGACGGUUCAUCAAUGACAUGGUGAAGAUUUAUUCUAUCACAGCCACUAAUGCAGUUGAUGGGGUGGCGUCCUCAUGCCGUGCCUGUGCCCUCGGUUCUGAACAGUCGGGUUCAUCGUGUGUCCCCUGCCCUCCAGGCCACUACAUUGAGAAAGAAACCAACCAGUGCAAGGAAUGUCCACCUGAC